RNAcentral lists this small nucleolar RNA (105 nucleotides) under Moschus moschiferus (Siberian musk deer). Its description in RNAcentral is "Small nucleolar RNA U3 (ENSMMSG00000012321.1)". It matches the Rfam family "Small nucleolar RNA U3". From Rfam's summary of the family: Small nucleolar RNAs (snoRNAs) are involved in the processing and modification of rRNA in the nucleolus. There are two main classes of snoRNAs: the box C/D class, and the box H/ACA class. U3 snoRNA is a member of the box C/D class. Lineage: Eukaryota; Metazoa; Chordata; Mammalia; Artiodactyla; Moschidae. The record is from Rfam by way of RNAcentral.
AUGACUAUACUUUCAGGGAUCAUUUCUAUAGUUUGCUACACAGUAUAGUAUUGUCAAUUAUAGUCACCAUGUUAUACAUUGGGCUUCCCUUGUAGCUCAGAUGGU